RNAcentral lists this long non-coding RNA (2926 nucleotides) under Trifolium pratense (red clover). RNAcentral's name for it is "long non-coding RNA (TPRA_LNC002494)". The record is from RNAcentral. Lineage: Eukaryota; Viridiplantae; Streptophyta; Magnoliopsida; Fabales; Fabaceae.
UGGGCUAAAAACUAUGUCCUAUAUAUUUAAAUUAAUAAAGCUUGAAACUUUACUAUGAAACAAAUUUCUAAUCAGAUACAUGUAAAAGAGAAAAAUGACUCAAAUUCCCAAAACAAUUUAUGUUUUAAUUAUCUUUCUUUUUAUAUUUCUUGUUGUCAUCGAUGGUGGUAAAGCAUCUUCACACCAUUUCAAAUUUCUUUCUUUAUCUUAUACACAAAAUAUAUCAUCACCUUUUUUGUAACAUGUCUUUUUUUUAUCUUAUUUGAUUUGAUAUCUCAGGAUUUAUUCCUUGCGAUAGUUGGCGUGAUUGUCCAAAAAACUUUUGCGUGUAUCCUCGACGGAAAGUGUGUGUUGGUGGUUUUUGUGAAUGUGAGUACAAAAGUAUAUUUAUGUUAUUUCUUACUGUAUGAUGUUUUUCUCAUACACUGAUUUAUUUUUCAUCGAAUUUUUAAUUUUUUUUACUAGCUAUUAUAAGCAAAAAAUUACUUUUUACGUUAUUGAAAAAUUAAUGUAUUUGAUUUAUAAUAUAAGUUAAAUACAUCAAUUUUCUAAUGAACCUGAAAAAUAAUUUUUUGCUUAUAGUGACGGAUGAAGUAUAACGUUACCUUUCAUUCAUUCAUAGAGGAUGUACAAAUAAUGUCACAUUGUCACUUCAUAAUUAUAAUUAGUUACCUAAAAAAGCAAUAAUUAUAAUCAGUUAUUUUAUUAAUAAAUAAAGGAAAUAUAUGGUUCCUCACUUUUUUUUUACUAAAACGUGACGAUAUUCAUUCAAAUAAUUGAUAGAAUAUAAAUAAAAAAUCAACAUAGCGAAAAACAAAAAUGAUAAAUAUGAGAAUAAACACACAUCAUCUAAGUUAAUAGUAGACGGUGGCAAAAUACUUACAAAUAAUAUAAUAAAAUAAAAGUCAUAGGAAUGUCCAUGCUUUCAGGUUUGCAGCGUUGAUGCCUAAAUCAUUGAUUGCAUCUGAAAUUGAUUGAAGAUGACAUUUCAAUAUGAAGUAAACGAAUACCGCAACAAGACGAUAAAUCAAACAACGCCGUACCAAGAAGAUGACAAACACAACGCCGCACUCGGACGACGAAAUCAUAACUACAAAAGAAAACAACUAAAAGACUCAAUCUAUGUGAAAAUCACUUAUAUAUAUAUCUAGUCUAGAUUAAAAGCAAAGAAGAAAAAAAAGAUGUUGAAGGGUGAUAUUAGGCCAAAAUGACAUAAAACCACCCCUUAACUGGUAGAGAAAAAAAAAACUCAAAGAGAAAAAAAUUAGGAUCGGCACAAAGAGAGAACUUUUAAGCUAUUAUUAUUAAAUCAUAGAAUAUUUCUCGUGUGUGCUUGCCAUUGAUGGUAGUGUGUUUUCUAUAUGAUUCUCACUUUCUCAAUUAUUCAUCUUAAAAAAAAAACAUUUUAGCUACUAAAUUACUUGGAAAAAAACAAAAGAAAAUAUAUGGUUGAAUAGAUUAAUUUUUUGUAUUUUUGCCCAAUAUAGUAUAAUAUUGUAUUCAUCUAAGCAUCUGGAUUAGAGAAGAUUAAAGUUCAAUUAAUUUAACUAAAUGACACAUGUCUCUUAUAAUUUAACUAAGAUUUUAGAUUUAAUUUUUGACCGACCAUGUAGUAACGUUAAAACGUUUAGGAAGAAUUUUUCAUCUAUUUGAAUCCCACAUGACUCGAUAACUUAAUCUCCAUAGUUGCGUGCGAAAAAUAUACAACAUUAAAAAAAAUUUGUUUAGAUAUGUCUAAUGGUUGUUGUUUAUCCUCAAAGGCUUAAGAGUGUUUAAGUGGUUUUGAAAUAGUUAGGUUGCAUUUGACUUUUUUUUAAGGCUUAAAAGUUACUUUGAGAAUAAAAUAAAAAAUAAAAAAUUUAAAGUCAAAGUUAAAUUUGUUUGGCAUUUAUUAUUAUUUUUAACUUAAUUAUCACUUUUAAAUCAAAAUCUAGUAAAAUAUUUUUAUAAAAGUUUUGAUAUUUUAAUACAAAUUUAUCUUAAAUAACAAACUUAUGAAAUUCAACUAUUUUAAUAAAAAAAAAUUAUAUUAUAUAGAGACAUGAUUUUUAAAAGAUAAUUAUCUUAGUAAUAACAAACUUAAGAAACGAUGUAAACAAUAUUUGAUAAACAUCGAAAAAAGAUAAUAAUAACAAAGAUAAAAAAAGAUAAUAUAACAAAUAAUUAUCCUAAUAAUUUGUUGGUAUUAAUCCUCUGGUUCUCAGGAGAAUGAGUCUCAAUAAUCUAGAGUUCGACCGCGAGGUAAGAAAAGUGUGACAAUGAAUUGUUCCCACUAGGAAUCGAACUCAAGUUCUCUCAAACAAUCCGUUAUAAGGAAAGUUCAUUAACCACUUAAACUCAAUAUCCUGAUUAACUUAAUUACAACUUUGAAAUUGAAAGUAAUAGAAAUAUCUUUCAAUGUAAUUUAUCUUCAUAUCCUUUUAGUCUAGUAAUUCAGCCAUUAGACUUGCACACUUUAAUGAUGUGUUUGGUUUGAGAAAAAAAAAAUAAGAAAAAAAGAAAAACACGCAAAUCAAUUUCAAAGGUAACAAUCAAUUGAGCAAUAUUGUUUUUUUUGGUAGUCAACUGAGCUAUAUUGUAAUAUUUUCAUUUUAAUUAUUUUUUAUAUUUUCAUUAUGUAGAUAUUCACAUUUUUCUUUUGCAGGUUCUGAAAUAAAUUCACUUGAGCAAUAGUAUACAAGGAUGCCAUGAGAAGCCUCAUAUUAAACCUUACUAGUUUUUCUGAAUUGGAGAGGGAAAAAAAAACGAUCUAAAUCCCUCACUAAUAGCGAUGUUUAAUGUUAUUUUAAGUCUUUAAUGUUAUGAUAGUUUUAUGCUUAAGAUGCCUUUAUAUUUUAUUAUUAUUAUUUUUAUAUCUAUAAAUCAUAUUAAACUUAUAUAACUCUAUAUUAUAUUAAAAAAUGUCAAAAUAUAUGAAAAAGUUGUU